GUUCAACGGUUAGCAUACCAGGCUCUUAACCUGCGUUGUCUGGGUUUGAAUCCCAGUAGU
This 60-nucleotide transfer RNA is filed under the name Lotharella oceanica. The record is from RNAcentral. Lineage: Eukaryota; Cercozoa; Chlorarachniophyceae.